Nicotiana tabacum (common tobacco) is the source of this 4083-nucleotide long non-coding RNA. RefSeq lists it as uncharacterized. The record is from RefSeq and is a predicted model, not a curated record. Lineage: Eukaryota; Viridiplantae; Streptophyta; Magnoliopsida; Solanales; Solanaceae.
UCCUAUCAGUUAAGUAAAGGGAAUGUUAGAUGGCCAUAGUUUUGUGAAGAAAUCUGUAAGAGAUUUCAAGAUGCAGAUAAUAGUAGAUUCAGUCUCAUGGAGAAUUUAAAAAGAUAGAGAAAAAGGGAACAAUUAAUGAAUAUUUGGAGAAAUUUAAGGACCUUAAGGCUUGGAUUCAAAUCAGGAGCCCAACUAUGCCAGAAGAAUUCUUUUUGGAAUUCUUUGUAGAAAGCCUCAAGGAAGACAUAAGACAUAGUGUGAAUAUUCCGAAUUCCUAUACCCUAAGACAAGAUGUUGAAAAGGUUAGGCAUAAAAAAAAUGUAAUUGAGACUUGGAAUAAGAAAGGAAAAGCUACAUGGGAAAAAGGAUAAACCUAUACCGGUUACCAACAGUCAAACACUCAGAACCUUCAUAGAGGUGCCAAGGGUGCCGGGGUGUCCAACUAAAAUAUACAGAUAAGCAAGGGAUUUGAAAACAUGAGGAAUAAUGGAUUGUGUUGGAAAUGUGGUGACAAAUAUUUCCCAGGACAUGUAUGCAAGCAGAAGCAAAUGAAUGUUGUGGCUGCUUCUGAAGAUCCAGACUAUGAUGGAGCCAAUAGAGGAAGGAGCUAGUCCAGUCUAUCAUGCAGGAGAGGAAGGCAUGGAUGAGGCCAAUAACCUCAAUGCUCUUUCUGGAACUGAGAUGCCCAACACAAUUAAGCUGAUGGACGAACAUCUAUAGGUCUUCACUAAUCGGGCCUAUGCCGGCCGAGGAACGGAAGAUGAUGGCGUUCUCCUCUCGAUUUUUCCAUCUCGAUUUUUACAAAUCCUGCAUUUAGUUUUCUUAUUCAACUACAAGAUGAACACAGACGACAAAGAAGGGUUGAAGUAAGAACAAAGGAAAGGAAUGAUGAAUAUCAAAUCAAACUUUUCGGUGGAUAAAUUUCAAUGGGAAAAGAGGUGGUUGUCUUGAGUAUGUGCCUUGAUGCUCCAGUAACUGCGACUCAGGAAAUCCAGCCCUGAAUUCAAAUGUCCUCAAUGGUAGGGUUACUCAAUUUGUUGAAUAUCAGAUUUUACUUUCUAUAUAUUGUGCAAACUUCAGUUCACAAUAACAUGAGAAAAAGAGGAAGAAGGCAAGAAAAGAAAGGUGGAUAAGAUAAACGGGUAGAGCACCUUGAUGUUGUAAGGUAAAUGCGAGGAAAUGGCCAUUGAAAAAUAUGAAAUUGUGGGUAAUUGGAUUGUUUCCCCAACCCUCUGAAAGCUGGUCAAUAUUUUGAAGCUAAAUCAUCCAUUUAGAAGCAGACAAGUGAAUUUAUGAGAAGAAUGAUGUGCUGCGGGAAGGUAUCAUGCAAUGAGGUCUGUUUUAUGUAUGUUUGAUUUACCUUGGUAGUAUUUAGUCAGAAGGUAGCAUAGGACUCAGGAUCAAGCUGUAGCUAUGAUCUUCUACUUUUUUGUCCCAGUGGCGAAGCCACAAAAUUCAACAAGGGUGUUCAAACCUUUGCCGGUGGGCUAUGUAAGGGUGUUCAAAGUCUAUUUUUAAUCAAUAACAAGCAAUAUUUUACCUUAUACGGAGUAUAAUUUUCCGGCGAAAGGUGGUCAACUCACGUAGCUUCGCCCCUGUUUGUCCCUCCACUUGGGUUCGUAAUGCUUACUUUUGGACUUUCUUAAAUUGCAUGCCUAAUAGAUACAUGAACCAAAUGAUGCUAUACUGAGUUGUCUAAAAUAUUGAAUCUCUUAUGAAUAUGGAAAUAUAACUUCAACUGUCUAUUCCCAUGAUUAUUUAUGCAUGCUUAUAAAAGUUCCCAGACCUGCAAGUUGGAUUAAAGUUUAAAUGCAGAUUUUGUAUUUUUGGUUUGGUCAACGUAUAGCUUUAUUUGAAUCACUUUCAUCACUGUGUACCAAAGAUCAGAAUUGCAUGUUAUAAAUAUUUAUCUUAAUUAACAUUUCUUUUUUCCCUUUUUCUAUUUCUAUAAAUUAAAAGUUCUUAUAUUGCAUGUUAUAGAAUUAACUUCUGUAUAACUAACUACUAGGAAAUAGGUACAAGUUUUUGCAAGUUCUUUCCAGAAAUCAGACAUACGAUGACCAAUUUUGGAACUAAAUCUCGUUUGCAGUGUUAUCUUAAAUAUGUGUUCCAAUUCAUCCAAUUCACUACAGUGUGAUUGUCUUCGUUCCAAUUAUCCGGUUUUUGUAAAAUCAAUGACAUGAAGGGUAUUAGAUAUAAAAUUAAGUUUCUUAUACACAUGCAAAUUUAUAUGUAUACCGAUUAAAUUUAAAUAUAUAAAAGAAAAUGUUAAUUCAUUUAUUGAUGACCGCGCGAAGCGCGGAUAAAUUUACUAGUGAUAUAAUAUAAGGGGGGAUUGGAUUAAAGGCCAUAAUCCAGUUUUGCUAAAAGCAUGUUGGGCUCACCUAUUUACUGUAACUGCAGUAGAAGGGGCAACUAGAGUUAAGCAUCCUCUUGUCAGCAACUAGAGCUAAGCAUCUACUUAAGAAGGGGCAAGCUAUUUAGGCUCACUUAUUUACUGUAACUGCAGUAAAAGUUGAAGAACGAGAGAAGGUACAUGCAGCUAUCUAGCAGGUCCUAAAGCAAUUCCCUAAUGUGUUUAUGUAACCUACAAGCCUUCCUCCCAAGAGGAAUCAUGAUCAUUAUAUGCCUCUGAAACCAAACACAACACUAGUCAGCAUAAGACUUUACAUGUACAAUUUCUUUCAAAAAAAUGAAAUUAACAAACAAGUCAAUGAGAUGCUAGCAAAUUAAACCAUACAACCUACUCAUUUGCCCUUUUCAUCACCAUUAUUAUUAAUUAAGAAGAAAAAUAGAAGUUUGAUAUUUUGCAUUGACUAUAGAGCUCUCAAUAAUAUGACUGUUAAGGAUAAAUUUUCCAUUCCCUUGGUUGAUGACUUAAUGGAUGAACUACGUGGUUCUCGUAUAUACUCUAAAAUUGACUUAAGGGCAGGUUACCACCAAAUUAGAAUGGGAGAAGAAGAUAUUUACAAAAUAACCUUUAGAACACGUUUAGGCCAUUAUGAGUUCAAGGUAAAUCCCUUUGGCUUAACCAAUGCCCCUGCCACAUUCCAAUCUCUCAUGAACCAUGUGUUUAGGGACUAUUUGAGGAAGCUUGUUCUGGUUUUCUUUGAUGACAUAUUAGUUUGCAUUGCCUCACUAAAUGUUCACACACAACACCUUGGAAGAGUACUUGAAAUAUUGAGGAAGGAAUAGCUCUUUUCCAAACUUUCUAAGUAUUCCUUUGGUCAAUCAAAGGUAGAAUAUUUGAGGCACAUUAUCAUUAGAUAAGGAGUAGCUACAAACCCCUCUAAGGUAGAAGCAAUGACUAAUUGUCAUGUUCCUAAGUCCAUUAAGUAUCUAAGAGGUUCCCUAGGUCUUACAAGCUACAACAGAUGAUUUAUAUAGUCUUAUGGAAUCAUCAGCAGACCAUUAACCAAUUUGCUGAAAAAAGAAUGCACUCCAAUGGUCUGUAGAGACUAAAACUACCUUCCUAACAUUGAAGCAAGCCAUGUCUACUGCCCUUGUACUAGCCCUAGCAAAUUUCGCUAAGACUUUUAUAGUGGAAACUGAUGCAUGCUCUACAUGAAUGGGGGUUGUGUUGAUGCAAGAUGGAAAACCUCUUGCAUUCUCCAGUAAAGCUCUAGGCCUUAGGCAUCUGGGCCUAUCUACUCAUGAAAAGGAAUAUAUGGAUGUCCUAUCAGUUAUAGACAAAUGGAGAUACUUCAUAUAAGGAGUAUAUUUUAUUAUUAGGACAGACUACGAAAGCUUGAAAUAUUUGCUGUAACAGAGCGACCACUGCUUUACAACAGAAGGGUCUGGCUAAGCUUCUUAUCUUAGCCUAUGAGGUACAGUAUAAAAAAGGAACAGAGAGUUGAAGAUGCACUAUCUAGAAGGGAGAAGGAAAGUCCUUCUUUAUGUGUAAUUACUACUACUAACCCAACCUGGAUGAAGGAUAUUGCGCAUAGCUAUGAUCAUGAUCUCAUGACUCUACAAUUUUUAACUGAGAUGAUCACCGGCCCUGAUAACAGGCCAAAUUUCACCCUACAACAAGGUAUCUGUUACACCCUAUAUUUUGUUUUUGUACGUAAAACUGUGUCGUGA